This is a long non-coding RNA of Harpia harpyja (harpy eagle), 6580 nucleotides long. RefSeq lists it as uncharacterized. The record is from RefSeq and is a predicted model, not a curated record. The transcript is spliced from 2 exons. Lineage: Eukaryota; Metazoa; Chordata; Aves; Accipitriformes; Accipitridae.
GCUCUUUCUUUCCAACCUUAUUUCUGGCUCCAAACCACACAGGACCAGGAUGUUGACUAUGUGUCAACAAAGAAAAGCUGAAUUUGGCAUACCUCCUAGAGGACAGUGCACUCGAGCUACCUUUUUUUGUCCUUUGCAUGUUAUAAAAACAAAAACUUGAGCCCAUACUAAAGCCCUGAGCAUAACCAGUCCCUUACCCCUUCAGAGCACUACGGAAUUUAUCCUGUAUGUCUGUAUUUAACUGUGUUGUAAACAAUAUGGAUGACUAACAAAUCUAAAUUCAAGAACAGGCUCAGAUACUUAGAUUGAUAGCUUCAGUAUACAUAGAAAGGAUGAACACUGAUGUUGUCAUUGGUCCUGCUUUCCUUGUGUAUCCAUGAAGAUGGAGCUAUGGAGUAAGUGCCAACCAACACAAAGAUAUCUGUUCAGUCCUAAAUUCAAGUGUGGUGAAGAAUGAGAAAUUUCACCCUGAUAGAUCUACUGUUACAGCAUUAUAAACUUUCCUGUUCUUCUGAAAGCGGUGCAGCUGUCCCCGAGGGUGCCAGAGAUUGUAAGAUCAGACACCUAAGGAGAAGAGUUUACACAGUUUUGCAAGAACGAGCUGCGACAAGACAUAAAAAUAUGGUCCAGGAGAAAAAAGCUAUAGACAUAUGGACAGAAAUAAAAAGAAGAGGAAGUAAUUUCAGAGAAAAGCUUAAGGAGGACUUGAAAAAGGAGAAGGCACUUGGCAACUGGGGACAAGAAAAUUUACCUCAUGCAGCCUCGUGGAAAGGAAGUCGGUUCUUACUGAGGUAUUGAAAAAUCCUAUUGAAUUAAGCUUUUCCUUUAAGAUGCCUUGCUGGAGCUUUCUGUGUGAAAAACAAUCAGCCUGCUAACUGCAGGCUCCAAGUGAAUAUGUGGGAAAAGAUUUUUCUUUCUAUGAUAUAGGUUACACUGACAUGUAGACUGGAAGCUUAAUACUGUACUUUAUCAUUAGUCCAAUGAAAUUACAGAUAUCAGCUCCUUUAACAAAUUAAAGUUAUACCACAUGGAGAAAAGGAUUAAACCACAUACAAAAUUAAGGCUAUAGUCAUUCUUUUCUGGUUUUAGACCCACUGAAAUGAAAAGGGCCAGUUUGGGAAAGUUGCUAGUAGACCAUAAUCACAAGUGUCAGAAUAAUACAUUUUUAUUUAAAAUAGGAAAUGUUGAUUAAUGAACAUACUUAACAGAUAAUGAGUAAAGGUAUUGAAAGCAUCUAUGUUCUAUCAAAUUUCAGGGGAAACAUUUAAUUUAUAUGUUGAAAAGACAAUGAGAAUUGAAAGUCUUUAAGGUAAAGCUAACCAACACAUGCAGUUAAAACUGAAGGACACAGUAGUUUCAUAAGUACUUGAUUAGAAGCCCCUAGAUACUGAGAAGCAAGAGAAAAUGUUUCCAGUAUGCAAGCCCAAUAAGUCUAAAAACAAAGAACAAAAAAGGAAAUUAUUUAGCUAUCAGAGUUGAAACUAAGGUAAGAGGAGCCAAUUGCUUUGGAAGCAAUUAAUUGAUUUAAAGGUGAGAUACUGAAGAAGAUGCUGUGUAUAUAGCACAUCAAAAUUAGAGAAAAAUAAGCAAUAAAUUAAAUUGAUGGUAAAGAAACUUCAGCCUAAAUGAAAAGUUAACUUAUUAAACCUUGAACAGAAAGGUCCUAAGAUUUAUUAAACCAAAUCCUCCAACAGUGUCUGCUGCAAUAGCUAUGUUGAUUUAAUUUGUGUCAUGACAAUUUAAACAUGUAUUAUGCCCUGAAAACACUAGCAUGAUAUUUUGCAUGCAAGACUUAUGAUCCUUAUGUUCUGGGAACUAGGAGUCCAUGAAUGUUACGUAGCUAGGAAUCUGAAACUACGAGAUGUUCACUCUCCUUUUUCACAUCUAGAUGUAAGUGGUGAUCUAUAACACACAGCUCACUGUGAUGACCACCUUGGCCUCACAUGCAUAGCAUGGAUUGUGUUCUUAUUGAUUCAUGUCAGUGUCUUGACAAGGAAACGAGUCAACAAGACUGUCCAUCCAAAGCAAGUAAAAUAAUUUUAAUGCUAUGAACAAAUUGCUUCCUAUAUGCUAAUAGACACCUGCAGAAGACAGGAAAUGAGAUACAGUGUCUGGCUGUUGAACACUCCUCCGACUAGUAACAACAGAAGCUUAUCGUAGCUUGCUGAGUCUUCUAGGGAAAAAACAUCUGUCCUAACAGAACAGGAAUCACAAAACGCUCUUUAAAUAAUGGUAGUUUGAAAUAAACUGGUAAUUACAUUUUUAAUGUGGAAUCAUCAUAAAAGCGUAAUAUAUUUCUAUGGUGGUUGUACUUGAUAAAUAAUAAUUACAGACAUUUGUUUUUACCAAGCCAUCACUUAGCUAAUUCUAACUUAAAUAUUUCUAAUAAAGUAUUAUAGGCAUAGGUUUAUUUCUACGUACAGCACAUGUUAUUUCUCAUAAGAAAGUGUAGUUGCAUGCAAUGAGAAAACAGUCAUGCCUAAAGCAAUUACAAUGCAGGAAAAAUUGGUGGUGAUGUUAGCUGAAAUGACAGCUACUUAGAGAAAGCAUAACCUGAAGUAGUGCUUCACUUGAAAGCAAAAUAGAUUAAUGUUAUUUUAAUAGUUGGCUCAAAUUUAAAACAUCUUAUCAGAAGCACAGUGUACAACUGAUAGUUUUCCACUAUCCAGUAAAAUAAUGAAAAUAGGAAAAAAAUGUUUUGGUAACUUGUAAUUGAGAACAGCAAAUGUGCCUUCUGUGUAAGAAAAAGACUGACCACUAAUUUGGAAAUGGUUCGUACUUCCAAAGUUUAUAGUUGCUUCCAUUAACAGUUCCAGCAACCUUUUUACUUUUGAUCUGAAGAAAGCUUUCUUGGCAAAUUGGAAAGGACUGGCACUACAGAUUCCUCCCUUGAAAGGUGCCUUUAUCACCUACCAAAAAGAAACUGAGUAAGAAAAAAUUACUGUUUAUUAUUUCUUGAUAGAAAUUACAAACUCUGACAAAAUAUAUUUGUUUGAACUUUGAUAUCAUCAUUAUUUAGUCAUCUUUAUAUUGUAUGAUACUAUUCUGGGAUUGCUUAUUUCAUUUAUAUUCUAAUUUAAUUUAACACCAGGUCUUGAAUCUUUGUAUUAGUUAAUGAAUCCAAACUCAUGAGAAAUACAACAUGAGUAAUCAGCAAAUAAUUAGCAAAUUAAUUCAUUUCUAUUGUGUAAAUGGAAAAACAAGGUAAUGCUCUGUAUAAAUUAGUGCACUCUUUUUCCUCCUGCACAUUAGGUGAGUUAUUUGCUGAAAUAAGUAGCAGAGUUUGCUCUUCUUAGCAAUCUUGGGAAAGCAGUUACCAGCUGAAUUUCAUAGCUAUUAUAUGGGGAAAAAAAGCAGGUGUGUAGAAAUUAGUAGUUUCCUAGGAAUAUUUAAGGGAGAACUUUUUUAAAAUUCAUACGCACAAAAAAGACUAAAUAGUAAAUAAUAGAAAUGUGAUUAGUUCUUAAACAGAAAUGAUCACGCUCUAAGAACAUGUUCAAGAAAGUAUUUCAGCACUGAAGUCCAAGAAAGCGAUCCACAACCCCUACAAAAUAUUUAGGCACCUUGCUUUCUACCGGUAGCUUCGUUGCUACAGCAAAUUUCUUAGACAUAUAUUGCUCUGGGACUAUGCAUGCCCCAAAGUACAGCUCUUUUGGGAGAGCAGAGCAUGUCAAUUCACACUUUGUGCCUAAGACAAUUUGGGAUUUAUAAAGCAGCUAUCCUUCUGCCUAUGUCUCCUGAAAGGCAUGUUUCAGCAGUCAUGCACCAGGAUCUCAAAACAUGCAUUGACAACCGUGAGUCAUACGUAAAACAUAGAAAGAGGUAGUGAGAGGUACACCUCCCUAUAUCCAUAUUUUUUAAUAUAACAAUGGGUAGAAGUGAGAGAUUUGAUUUCUGUGAUUUCCACCUCCUGGAAGUUCAACUCAUACAUGCCUGUGAGGAGCUAACACCAGCUCUAGAUUAGGCUGAAGGGGAGGCAGCAGUCAAAUGUGUAAGCUUUUAUAACAUCUAGAUGUGUCUUUUUAAUGAUCUCUUUCUUUAUUUUCUGUGUUAGGUUCAUCACUGUACUUUCCACUGGGAGCAAGUUAUCCCUUAUUUUCAACUGAAAAGUUAAUAUAGUUCUAUGUUGGCAGAAAUAUUUUGUCACUUAAUAUCUCUUUUUCUUGCCUCUGUUGAUUGCUAAUUCUGUAUGUCUUCUUGGAGUUCAGCACUUGGGAGAUACUAAAGAUCAACUUCCAUAGAUGUCAAUGGCAACUGAGUUUUUCAACAAGAAGAGCUGAUGGCAUUCAAUGCAUCAUUGAAUGUAAUAGAUUCUACAUUUGUCUUUUUUUCUUCUUCAUCUUUAUCUACUGGACCUAAAUUAUAUUCAGUUGCAUCAUUUCCAAAUGAUUUUUUUUCUGUGAGAGGUUCACCAAAGACAGUAAAAUUUUAUUUCACUGUGUGUUAAUAAACAUUAUAAAUUCUUGUGCCCUUAUGUUCAAUUCUGAGAAGUAACACAAGAAAAAAUACUUCAUACUAUCUUUUUUAGUAACAGCAAAAAUACUUCUAUUUUAACAUAUAAUACAACACUUUACUCACUUGCUGGGCCUGAGUCCAGAAAACCCUUUGAGAAUGUAGAUCUUAAUAUACUGUCUAAGAAAACAGUCGUCUACUAUUCUCAAAAACCAAAAUCUUCUACUUCACAUAAUACCUGUUUUAGCAACUUAGAGACAUAAUUUUUCAUACUUAUUUGCCUCAUAGAUUGGAACUGCAGUACAGACAAUCACAUAGCAAAAAAUAGGUUUUACAUGAAGAGUAUAGAAUACUUUUCAUAUUGAAAUCUUCUGUAUAUAUACCUAACAUACAGUAUAUAUACUGUUACAUGAGUUAUGGUGUAUACAUACGCACACAGGAACUUUGGCUUUAAGGUUCGAUAGCUGAGGACACAUCUUUGCUGUUGUGCAGUUCCUCCUCCACACAGUGAAUUUGCUCUGAGUCUUUAUUUCCACUUGCAUCAAAAUACCCAUAAAUGCAUUCAGAUUCUCUCUGAACAGUGUUGGGAGUUGCAUUUCCUUCAUUUCAGCUGAGCAGUGAGACAGUAUAAUCAAAGCAAAUGUGGCUUUGUCUGCUAUUUCCCUCCCACCUUCAAAGCUGUUGAUAGUGUGCAACUGUUACCUUAAACAGCAUUUAAUUUUACCAUCCAAAUACUACAUGAAUUUCAGGCAUAAAACGAAGAUGUGUAAGUUGAUGCCUGUGAGACGCAGAAGGACUGGCAGAAGGAGUAGCUGCGUGGGCUUACCCAGUGUACAGUGCCAUCAAUACAGUUUUACAUAGACCACCACAAGAGUGGAGUUACACGGUACAGACCCAUUCCAAGUCCUGACUGGACAUUUAAUUUUGGUACUGCCAUUUGUAAAUGUAUAUCUAUCUAUUAGGGACAGAAGAAAGAAAGAAAAGGAAGGAAUCUAACAAGGAUUGCCAAUUCAGAUCACAAUUUAUUCUUAGUGACAAACUUCCUUCACAGUUUCCCUAGGACUGAUUUCACCUGCUGGGCUAGAAUUGAAAGGGCAAUUUCACAGUAGAUGUAGCAUCCCCUCAAUCAUUUUUUUUUUUUUUUAAUAAAACUUACAGAUUUGCAGAUUUAUCCACAAAUUUUCUUUGCUCCUGCCAUCUGUACCACCAGAACAGCAAAAACCGUAAUCACCUGAUAGCUCAUCUAAACUGUUUCCAAUGACAACUGCAAUAAUUGUCAAUUUAUUUUUCUGCUCUGGUGUCCCAAAUCCUGUUACACAGGCUGGUAAUUUCAGGAAGUUGAGCAGGACUGGAGAAUCGAGACUGGCAUAUUCAAUGCCAAGUUUCAUUCUCUUUGGGUUUUGUUUCAUUCUGCUCUAAAAAUGCAAUACAUACCCAGGAUCUUUCCAACUCUCUCAUUCUGCAGAAGAGAAAAUCGUGCAUAGAGCAUUUUCCAGGCUUUCCUAAAAAUUGGAUCUAUCAUAGUAAACAUGAUCUAGAUGUUGAGGUAAAGUGUAUUUUGAAAACUUCCCUGUUGCCCCCAUCAUCCAGACCAGUGUCCUUCUCACCCUCCCACUUCGGUUUUCUUCUGUUGGAAACCAAGUGGUGGUAAUGCGGAGCAGAGUGCUCAGGUUCUAUUCCAACACCAAAUCAAAACAUGGUCUGAGCUUUCAAAGGGAUUUGGGAAGUGCCCCUGAAUCUCACAACAUAGUCAUAAGCUAUAGUUACAAGCCUGCCUUAGUGUCCCAGCUGUAUUGAGUGGAUUGUCUGAUGCUAUCAGGUACCAGACAUCUUUUUCAGCUCUGAAGGAGGAAAAAUGUCUCCAUUCCUCCCUCCUCUGCUGGAAACUCAGCAUCUAAGCCCCAAACAACAGGACUGGUUUAUUUACAAAUCCCAGAUAAAUUAUCUGAGACUGUAAAUGGCACUGUCUCAUGUUCUACCAACGUUUAGGAAAGAAAACCAAUGAAACUUAAACAUUCAUUAGAUUUCUAAAUGAAACUGCAAAGCAAUAGUAAAGAGGGAGGAACUGUAAGGCUCAGUUUGUGCCUAUCAGUAUUACAAAUAAAUGCUUUACACUAAAAAAAAAAUA